This is a long non-coding RNA of Esox lucius (northern pike), 1451 nucleotides long. RefSeq lists it as uncharacterized. The record is from RefSeq and is a predicted model, not a curated record. Lineage: Eukaryota; Metazoa; Chordata; Actinopteri; Esociformes; Esocidae. The transcript is spliced from 11 exons.
GCCCCCGCUGACACGCAACUUCCGACUUUCAGACAUGUACGGUUUGUUUACAAGACGCAGAUGGACCAUAUUGCCAUAUUGAGUCAUGGCGGCAACAACUCCCGGGAAGCACCUGUGACUUAGCUCAUCACAUUGCUCUGGGCCAGUGGACAACUAAAUUUGGCAAAGACAUUGAGGGUUUCCCUCAUCAAACUACUGUAAAUUCUUGUGGCAUCUUAAUGUUGAUGUAUGCACUCAGCCUGAGCAAAGAGGCUCCAUUUUGGUUCAUUGAGAGGGACAUGGCACGCAUCCGAAAAUGGUGGUGCAUUAGUCUAAUGGAACGGUUCCAGAUUGACGGCCAUGGACAGAGGUUUGCAUACUGGACUAAUGAGGCCAGAGCAUUGCUCCAAGGUUCACUGCAGCCGAUAUACAGGGUCCCAAAGGUCAGCAAGAGGGAACAUGAGGUUUCGAUUAGAAAAGGAUGACAGGUGCAUCAUAUUGGAGUGGUACUACAGGAAGGAGAUAAGGCAUACUUAAGAUUGGCUCUUGUGUGUCCAUUGACUCCUUCAAGAGACGGGCACAUUUUCAGUGGCUUGACAGUGUCGCUACAUGGAGCAGGAGUCCUAAAGAAAAUAAUUCUACACCAUGUACACCGUGGACACCUGUCGUGAAUGUGGAAUGCUUUUCAAAAACUGCACACCUGGAUAUGUUAGAACAGGACAAAGGGGUGUACUUGAAGCAGUUUACUCAGAAGACCCACAUCCAGGUUACUGCGAUCACUUUUGCCGCCAAAUGCAAUAGUGAGAACGGACACGUAUACUACCUGUUGGCAGACAACCCUGAGCCAGCUGGGUGUUUUUCAAGCUGCAGGCCCCCAUGACAAUUUGUGGCUGGAAACUUGGGAUUGAAUUUUGAAUUCUCCAGUGUUAUUACAGACUGUUAAUUAAUUGUUCAUGACAAAAAAGAGAUGUCAUAUGUUUAAACAACCUUUGGGUGAACUUUUUGUAUAAUUUUAAAAAUGUUAAAACUAACAUCUAUUGAGAGUCUACUUUAUGCUUUUUUGGUUAUAAUAACGUCCUGUUCAAUGUGGAAUCAAAUUCAAAUCCUCUGAAUAUUGAGUCCAUUUCUGAACACUGGGGAGAUCGUGUGUACAACUGGUGAUCCGGUUUAUUGAAUGCAUUGCACCUAUAUGAUUUCUACCCAGAGCUGUACAUUUAUCAUUUGUUAAUAUAAUAAUACAGACAGUCUGACUUUUCCAUACCCACAGGAUUAAAGGGCCUACAUCUACGUACAGAUACUGAUCAGCAUAAAGUCCUUUGGAAUCACAUGUAAACUGCAGUGGAGGAUUUUUCUUUCAGUGCUUCGACCCAGAGAGAGCCUUCUAGUCCUCUUGUGACCAGCCCACUAUGUGACAGUACUGUCACAUAGUACAUAACUUACAUCCACAUCCACUUAUUAAGACUUAUUAUUUA